AACGAACGCUGGCGGCAUGCCUAACACAUGCAAGUCGAACGAGACCUUCGGGUCUAGUGGCGCACGGGUGCGUAACGCGUGGGAACCUGCCCUUAGGUUCGGAAUAACUCCCCGAAAGGGGUGCUAAUACCGGAUAAUGUCUUCGGACCAAAGAUUUAUAGCCUUUGGAUGGGCCCGCGUUGGAUUAGCUAGUUGGUAGGGUAAAAGCCUACCAAGGCGACGAUCCAUAGCUGGUCUGAGAGGAUGAUCAGCCACACUGGGACUGAGACACGGCCCAGACUCCUACGGGAGGCAGCAGUGGGGAAUAUUGGACAAUGGGCGAAAGCCUGAUCCAGCAAUGCCGCGUGAGUGAUGAAGGCCUUAGGGUUGUAAAGCUCUUUUACCCGGGAUGAUAAUGACAGUACCGGGAGAAUAAGCUCCGGCUAACUCCGUG
RNAcentral lists this ribosomal RNA (433 nucleotides) under uncultured bacterium. Its description in RNAcentral is "partial 16S ribosomal RNA". It matches the Rfam family "Bacterial small subunit ribosomal RNA", at positions 29 to 507 of the family's 1533-position model. The record is from RNAcentral.